This 542-nucleotide ribosomal RNA is filed under the name uncultured bacterium. RNAcentral's name for it is "bacterial SSU rRNA". It matches the Rfam family "Bacterial small subunit ribosomal RNA", at positions 8 to 526 of the family's 1533-position model. The record is from RNAcentral.
AGAGUUUGAUCAUGGCUCAGAGCGAACGUUAGCGGCGCGCUUAACACAUGCAAGUCGCACGAGAAAGGGUCUUCGGACCCCGGUAAAGUGGCGCACGGGUGCGUAACACGUAGGCAAUCUUCCCUCAGGAGGGGGAUAACUACCCGAAAGGGUAGCUAAUACCGCGUAAGACCACAGUCACUCCGGUGACCGAGGUCAAAGGUGGCCUCUGCAUGCAAGCUACCACCAGAGGAUGAGCCUGCGGCCCAUCAGCUAGUUGGCAGGGUAACGGCCUACCAAGGCAAAGACGGGUAGCCGGUCUGAGAGGAUGAUCGGCCACACUGGCACUGAAACACGGGCCAGACUCCUACGGGAGGCAGCAGUGGGGAAUCUUGGACAAUGGGCGAAAGCCUGAUCCAGCGACGCCGCGUGGGUGAUGAAGGCCGUCGGGUUGUAAAGCCCUGUUGAAGGGAAAGAAAACGGUGGGCGCGAACAGCUCCUGCCCUUGACGGUACCCUUCCAGAAAGCACCGGCUAACUCUGUGCCAGCCGCCGCGGUAAUUC